This is a long non-coding RNA of Solanum pennellii, 6490 nucleotides long. RefSeq lists it as uncharacterized. The record is from RefSeq and is a predicted model, not a curated record. NCBI's taxonomy places the organism in Eukaryota, Viridiplantae, Streptophyta, Magnoliopsida, Solanales, Solanaceae. The transcript has 14 exons.
GCGGCAGAUGGCGCGGCAGAGGAGGGGAUCCAGUUUUCCCUUUCUUUAGCAUUAGGGUUUGUUGUUCGUCUACGAUAUUAGUUAUGUUCCUGUUGGCAAAUCUUCGGGUUUUCAGAUUCCGGCAUUGCUGACUGGGAAGGUUUUCAUUGUUAUAUCACCGUUGAUUAGCUUGAUGCAUGAUCAGAUGGUGUUUCUUCUGCUUCCUUCCUCGGAUCUGGCAAAACUGAUCAAAGUGUUGAACAAAAGCAAUGGCAGGCAUGUAUAGCAUCAUUUAUGUAUGCCCGCCCUGAACAAUUCUAAGAAAGUCUUGGAAUUGCUCUAUUUGCAGUCGAUGAAGUUCAUUGUGUUUCUAAGUGAGGUCAUGAUUUUCAAUAAGAUUACAGGCGAUUAUGUUUUGAGAGAGAACUUUGGAAUGGAUACCAUGAACUUUCGGAAGUUUGACAUUCCGAUCAUGUCACUGACUGCUAUUGCUACUACUGCUGUUUGAGAAGACAUUCUGCAGUCAUUGCACAUGUCAAAGGCAACACAAAUUGUUCUCACUCCGUUUUUCCGGUCAAAUCUCUGAUUUUCUGUAAAUUAAUCUUCACCGUGCUACGGUAAUUUUUUUUGUUUGGUAUUCGUAGGUGUUCUGCAUUUGCAUUUUGCUGCACCGCUUCAUUCUUAGCUGUCUUCUCUUAUUUAUUCCUUAUUUUGUUUGUUGUGUGUGCAUGUGGUGGGGGUGGGGGAUGUUUGAGGACUCACUUAUUUAUUGUAAAUAAUCCACACAUUAUUUAAACUAAAAUUAAGUUAAAUUCUUCAGAGAAUUCAAUGCUUAAAUUGUGAUUUGUGACAUUAUGUUUGCCUAUCAAUUACAUCCUGUAUUCACACUUAAGGACUAAUUACUACUUCCAUCGAGUGUUUUUAGUUUUAUUUUUGCUACAGUAUUAGUGUUUGAACCUCUUAAGGUACAGUCUUCAUACUCUGUACAUAUGCUGAUAGAAAUAAUAGUAAAUCACUUCAUUUCUGCUGCUUGCAUGUGGAGCAUUGAUAAGAACUUAUUCCAGAAAAGGGAAGUCUUCCUUGAAAAUCCUUUCUGGUGGAGAACUCUGAAAGUUCUGAUAAUGCUUCUAAUGGUUGCAUGGAUGAACACAAUGGGAUCAAUGAGGUUAUGUAGACGACAUUGAGAAGGACGCUGUUUCUGAGCGACAAUGAAGUAUCUUGUCCUGAGAUAUUGGAGAUAUGGUUUACAUUCAUUGAAGGGUAGACAGUUCUGUUUAAAAUCUGGAAAAUGAGUGUGAUGUUGUGCAAGAUGUGGAUGAUUUGAAUGGUCUCUUCAUUUCUUAAAACCAAAUCAGGGAAAUGCUUUUUGUGGGUUUUCCUUAGUCUCUACCAAUGUUGCAGAUUAAGUAAACAUUUCAUCUUUUCGUCCCAGGGCACUUUUUAAAAUUUUCUUGUGGUGAAUUUUGUGGAAAACUACCUCCGAAAGGUUGUACUGGUUUAUGUUGCACAAAAUUCUGAUCUGGCCUAUGAUCCAGAAGAAAGAGCAAAGUUUUGACACGAACCUUUGGAGGAUGGACCAACAAUAAUCUAUGCCCCAAAUAGGAAAGAAACAUUAAGUGUAUGAAAAUCUCUUUCUAAACUUGGGGUCAUGGCUGCUGCUUACAAUGCUAAGAUAAUUUUGCACUGUCGCAUGAUGUAGGAGCAUGUCUUUAGGAUGCAAAAUACCAUAGUUGUGAAAGUGGACUAAAGGUGAUCAUAAACAGCAUGCUGUUCAAUUGGUUUUCUUUCAUGUAAUUAGUUGCCAAAAUCACAUCUGAGGCAGGUGCAUAAGGAAUUUCAUGAGAACACUCUGCAGUUGUUGAUAGUUGCUAUAAUAAGAUGAAUCCAGUGCAAAGGUUUUCUGCUGAAUUUUUUACAAAGGCCAUUGUCGCAACAAUUGCCUUUGGGAUGCACAUUGACUAGUUGAAUGUGUGAAGGAUCAUUAACUAUGGUUGGCCCCAGAGUCUGGAGGCUUAUUAUCAAGAGGCUGGUCGGGAUGGAAAAGUAGCAGAGUGUGUUCUGUAUGCAAACUUGUCGAGAUCACCUAUGCUUCUACCAAGUGAAUGAAGUGAGGAGCAGACAAAGCAAACAUAACAUGGUCCAUGCUCUGAAAGCAAAUCCCAAGUCCCAUAUCCAGGAGAUUGGAGGGUCCUUGAUUUUUUUCUCUCAUCACCCUGAAAGCCUGCACAUGAUUGGUCCCACAAGGUUACAUGCAUAUGGACGGGUCUGGUGUCCACACGUCCACAUUGAUUAACAGGGCUGGGAAAUCAAGUUAUGUGAAGUUCCACUGGAAGCCCACAUGUGAUCUCAAGUCCUUGUUGGAAGAAGAGGCAAUCCGAGUUGGAGGAGCAAAUCUCAGCCACACUACUCAAACCUCUAUGACACUAUUGCAGCUGGAAAUUAUCCUGAAUGGAAGCUCUUCAUUCAGACUAUGGAUCCAGAUCAUUAAGACAGCUUUGACUUUGUUCCACUCCUGGUAGUACUUCUCUUAUGAUGUCAAUGUAGCGUUGAGGUGAAUUGUCUUUUCAACCUUCUUCUGACUGCUUCUAUGUACCAUUAGAAGUUAACUAACAGCCUACCUGUUUAUUUCAAUUUAGAACUACUACUUGGGAUAAAAAUUAUCAUUAUACUACCUAUUAAAUUGUGUUUUAGCAUUUUAGAGGAUCCUUUUUUCCUUUUUACCCAUUGACUUAGUACGGAAAGUAUUUGGUUUAGUGGAGGAGAUGGUAUCUCGAGCUUACAAGCAGUAGCAUUUACACAAAAUUUAAGCCCUCAAAGUCUUCAUCCUGGUGGCUGACACUUCAGUUUAUCCGAUGAUUUGAGAUGCAAUUCUACUAAAAUUGAGUAUCUUCUAUUGGGUAUAUUGCUUUUGAAUGCUGAACGAGUUGUUGAACACUAACUGUCACUUGAAUGUCUUAUCUUGAGAUCCAAUAUGUUAUCUCUUUCAUCAAUGCAUGAAUGAUGAAGUUUGGCAAUGAGGAGAUAUGACAGUGCAGAUCCAGUGAAGGAUCCUGUACUGCGCGAGGAGGGAAUCCAAAUUUUCUUUCCCUUUCUUUUAAAGCAAGGGUUUUUACUGUUGUUGUCUCCGUAGAGAAGCAAUCAACAGCAUCUACAACGUUGUUGGAAAAGGUCUGUUGUAUGAAUCUUUUGUUUAUUCAAUUCUUGAUUGUUCACUAGUUUUCAAUUUUGUUGUGAUUGCAUUUACAUAACAAGAGAGAUGGUAUGAAAUACAGCUGUUGGUGGAAAAAGUAAACAGUUAGUGUAAUUGGGAAUAUCAUUUGGCAAUAAUUGGGAAAUUAUUUUAAUAAAGGUAUGUUGUGAGAACUUCUUGUUAAUUCAAUUCUUGAUUGGAGUUAGAGAAUUGUUAGAUUAUCAAUUUUAAUUUUUAAGUGAUUGCAGCAUCAAAUCAAGAAAACUGGAACACUUUCUGUUCUUAAAAUUGUUCUUGUUAGUCAAUUCUUGAUUGAAGUUAGAGAAUUAUUAGAUUAUCAGUGUUAUUUUCAAGUGAUUGCAGCAUUGGAUCAAGAAAACUGAAACACUUUCUGACCUUAAAAUUGUUCUUGUUAAUUCAAUUUCUUGAUGAGAAUUAUUAGAUUACCAGUACAAUUUUCUACCUUGAAAUUUUAUUGUUAAUUUCAUCCUGGAUUGAAGUUGGAGAACUAUUAGAUUAUCAGUACACUUACCUACCUUGAAAUUUUAUUGUUAAUUCAAUCUUGAUGGUGCGAUUGAUUAUCUACUCGAUGAUUCUCAAAGAAACACUGCGAGUGCAUCCACUAGUAUUGCAUGUUUCAGCCGCCGUGCUGGUAUGCUAGGAAAAAGAGGCUCCUCUUCUUCAUCUUGUUCUGCAGGCAACAUGCGGAAAUCAAGCAUAAACAUAUGCAUUCAAUCAGCAAUUAGACCUAAAUGAAGCAAGACAAUAAAUAAGUUGAAUAUGUCCAUCAGAAGUCUUGCAAAUAGAUACUGGAGGUCGAAAUGUGCAUUCUCCUCUAGAGGAUUUUGAUCUCCACGUUGCAAUUGAAAAGGCUGUAUCAUCAUCUUAUUGCAAAGAUGAAGAUAUUGGACAAGAUUGGCAAAAGGAGGUCCGCAAUUUGUUGCAGAAACACUUUGGACUUUCAUUGUUGAAGGAGUUUCAGAAGGAAGAUCUAGAAAGCUUGGUUGUCUCACCGAGACUGUCUUGUUCUUGCAGCAACAGGAUCAGGGAAAUCUUUGUGUUUUCAGAUUUCGGAAUUGCCGACUGGGAAGGUUGUAUUGAAAUAUUGGACCAGAUUGGCAAAAGAAGGUCAAGAGUUUGUUGCAGAAACACUUUGGACUUUCAUUGUUGAAGGAUUUUUCAGAAGGAAGCUCUAGAAGGUUGAUUGUCUCACCAAGACUGUCUUGUUCUUGCAGCAACAGGAUCAGGUACUUGCCCUUGACACUUUUUCUUUCUUCACUAUUCUCUCCAUUCCUGUUAAAUAUGAUUUUCGAUGUCUCGGAGUUAUGUUUCUUUAGGGAAAUCUGUGUUUUCAAAUUCCGGCAUUGCUGACUGGGAAGUUUGUCAUUGUUAUAUCACCUCUGAUUAGCUUGCUGCAUGAGCAGUGUUUGAAGUUAGCAAAACAUGGUGUUUCUGCUUGCUUCCUUGGAUCUUGUCAAACUGAUCGAAGUGUUGAACGAAAAGCAAUUGCAGGCAUGUAUAGCAUCAGUUAUGUAUGCCGUGAGACAAUUCUAAGACUCAUAAAACUCCUCCAAAGCCUUGCAGAAAGUCAUGGCAUUGCUCUAGUUGCAAUCGAUGAAGUUCAUUGUGUUUCUAAGCAGGGAUAUGAUUUUCCACCAGAUUACAGGUUUAUAUUCUUCUAUUUGUUUUAUAAAUUAGACCAAUGCUAUUUUUGGAAAUUGAUCAAUAAAUUUGAGCCCUGAGUAAGUCCUUUGAUAUAGAUAAAUCCUAUAGUCUCUUUUCCUAGAGUGCAAAUAAAUAAGAAGGAACUUGUUAUCCUUCCAUACAGUUUACAUACCAUAAGGACCAAGCCAACUACAAUCUUUGCAGGUGGUACUUCACAUUGGGUGUGGGGGUGGGGUGGGCUGACCUUCCAAAUUCUGGUUCUAUGUUUGUUUAGGCACUUGAUCAGUUGAAGCUCAAGGAGUCUCUGCUGUUUUUGUUACUACUGAUCAUGGUACUGAUUGCUACUGCCACUACUCGUGUUCGAUAAGACAUUCUGCAGUCAUUGCACAUGUCAAAGGUGACACAAGUUGUUCUUACUUCGUUUUUCCUGCCAAUCUCCGAUUUUAUAGUUAAUUAAUCUACACCUUGCUACGGUAAUUUUUUCGGUUUGGUAUUCCUUGUAUGUUCUGCAUUUGCAGUUGCUGCACCAUUUCAUUCUUCGCUUUGUUUCUCUUAUUUAUUUUCUUAUUUUGUUUGUUGUGUGUGUAUUAGGGGGGGGGGAGCUGGGAAGGGGCAUACUUAUUUAUUGUUAAUCAUCCAUUUGUAUACAUACUCGAGAACUAAAUUACUACUUUCUUUUACUAGUUAUGGUAUUUAAACUAGAUCCUUAAUCUUUGUGUCACUUUAAUCCUGCAGUGCAUAAAGUUUGGUUUUGAUACACUUGCACCAAAUGCUCUGUUAUUCAACUUAAUUUAUCCAGAAGAGUCAUGUUUAUCUAUAGAUCUGAGACAUCGGCUUCCAAGAGGAGGGAGGCACUACAUGUAUUUUUAUGCUGUUUGAUUUUUUUUUGUAUGUUGCUAUUUUCAAUGAUACAGAAUGUGUGCAGAUAGGUCUUAUAAUACGGUACCUCCAGAUGUGUCUCAAUUAGUUAAUUUUAGUGGUACCUUUAACGACAAUAAGCGCAUCUGGUGUAGUGGUAUCAUAGUACCCUCCCACGGUACUGACCGGGGUUCGAUUCCCCGGAUGCGCACUCUAUUCUUUUUUUUACUACAAUUUUUAGCAUUAUUCCUUUCUGGAAUAUAAUUCACUUCAAGCAAGGGAUGUGUGAAGUUAUGCCCCUAUUGAUGCAAAGCAAAGAAUCAAUUCCCCUUUCUAUUGUUUUACUUUAACAACAAGAAGUCAGCUACUUCAGAUGAGUUCUCAACAGAGCCUCAAUGUAUUUUAACAACUUCACCCUCGCAAUUAUAGGCUUUACAUCAUCAUUCUUACUAUACUUGCCAAUCUUGAGGAGAAGGCAAAAGAAGGAAAUAGCAGCAGAGAAAUUGAGGAUAGUCACAGAAGCAUUAGAACAAGCAGAGGAUAGAGUCUUAAGGUAUGAAGAAAGACACAGCAAGAUACUUAACCAAAUAUGUUCACAUUACAUUGUAAGUCAAGAAAUAGUAGAAGCACUUUCUGGUGCUCGAGAAGCGAUGAAUGAAGCAUUAGAAUUUGCAAUUACUCUCAGAAAUCUACAGCUAGAAAUUAUCAGAUUGUACCCUGAUCAAUAUGAAAGUGCUUCAAGGCCUGUUUGGUUAAUUGGAAAAUCAAGAAGACAAAGGAACAAUAAUAAUUAGCAUA